AGCCCUGCGGUGCCGGUCACGUCAGAUUGCAAACCUGAAGAAGCAGGCUCACAGCCUGCCGGGGCUU
Molecule: transfer RNA, 67 nt
Filed under: Arapaima gigas (arapaima)
Lineage: Eukaryota; Metazoa; Chordata; Actinopteri; Osteoglossiformes; Osteoglossidae
Description: tRNA-Cys
Source: RNAcentral